This is a non-coding RNA of Schistosoma rodhaini, 46 nucleotides long. The record is from Rfam. Lineage: Eukaryota; Metazoa; Platyhelminthes; Trematoda; Strigeidida; Schistosomatidae.
GCAUUGCUGAAGAGUCACACAAUAGGACGAAACGGCCGUCCAGUGC